GACGAACGCUGGCGGCGUGCCUAAUACAUGCAAGUUGAGCGAUGAAGAUUGGUGCUUGCACCAAUUUGAAGAGCAGCGAACGGGUGAGUAACGCGUGGGGAAUCUGCCUUUGAGCGGGGGACAACAUUUGGAAACGAAUGCUAAUACCGCAUAACAACUUUAAACAUAAGUUUUAAGUUUGAAAGAUGCAAUUGCAUCACUCAAAGAUGAUCCCGCGUUGUAUUAGCUAGUUGGUGAGGUAAGGGCUCACCAAGGCGAUGAUACAUAGCCGACCUGAGAGGGUAAUCGGCCACAUUGGGACUGAGACACGGCCCAAACUCCUACGGGAGGCAGCAGUAGGGAAUCUUCGGCAAUGGACGAAAGUCUGACCGAGCAACGCCGCGUGAGUGAAGAAGGUUUUCGGAUCGUAAAACUCUGUUGGUAGAGAAGAACGUUGGUGAGAGUGGAAAGCUCAUCAAGUGACGGUAACUACCCAGAAAGGGACGGCUAACUACGUG
This 497-nucleotide ribosomal RNA is filed under the name uncultured bacterium. Its description in RNAcentral is "partial 16S ribosomal RNA". It matches the Rfam family "Bacterial small subunit ribosomal RNA", at positions 28 to 507 of the family's 1533-position model. The record is from RNAcentral.